Macaca mulatta (Rhesus monkey) is the source of this 516-nucleotide non-coding RNA. The record is from the annotation of a RefSeq genome assembly. NCBI's taxonomy places the organism in Eukaryota, Metazoa, Chordata, Mammalia, Primates, Cercopithecidae.
AUGGAGUUUGGGCUGAGCUGGGUUUUCCUUGUUGCUAUUUGGAAAGGUGUCCAGUGUGAGGUGCAGCUGGUGGAGUCCGGGGGAGGCUUGGUCCAGCCUGGCGGGUCCCUGAGACUCUCCUGUGCAGCCUCUGGAUUCACCUUCAGUGAUUAUGCUAUGGACUGGGUCCGCCAGGCUCCAGGAAAGGGGCCGGAGUGGGUAGGUUUCAUUAGAAGCAAAGCUUAUGGUGGGACAGCAGAAUACGCCGCGUCUGUGAAAGGCAGAUUCACCAUCUCCAGAGAUGAUUCAAAGAACACGGCGUAUCUGCAAAUGAGCAGCCUGAAAACCGAGGACACGGCCGUGUAUUACUGUACUAGAGACACAGUGAGGGGAGGUCAGUGUGAGCCCAGACGCAAACCCCCCUGCAGGGGCGCGCGGGGCCACCAGGGGGCGCCCAGACACAAACCUCCCUGCAGGGGUCCCCGUGACCACCAGGGGGCGCGCGGGACACAAACAUCCCUGCAGGGGUCCCCGUGA